AUGGAAAAACAUGAUAACUGGGAUUUAACUCAACUGAAGGUAAGAGUACCCUGUCUGGCCCACACAAUCUGACUUCUUACCUUAGUCCCAUAUUGACCCAGGAAUGUGCCCCUUGAAUGAGGAAAACAUGGCUAUUUGAGAGCAAUGCCAGUGAGAUUAUGCAUGCGUUUCUAAAAUACAGAAGCAAAGCCCCCUAAAAACACCAACUUUAGGUGCCAGAAGAAGCUGUAGGGGUUGUGGGGAUGAAUAGGGAAGAAAGCGAGGAAUCAUUGAGACAAUGUCUUCACUACUCCCUCUUUGUUGUAAGGUGAUACAGUUGGGCACCUUAGUGGAUAACCUGACUGUCGAUCCUGCCACAGGAGACAUUUUGGCAGGAUGCCAUCCUAAUCCUAUGAAGCUACUGAACUAUAACCCUGAGGACCCUCCAGGAUCAGAAGUACUUCGCAUCCAGAAUGUUUUGUCUGAGAAGCCCAGGGUGAGCACCGUGUAUGCCAACAAUGGCUCUGUGCUUCAGGGCACCUCUGUGGCUUCUGUGUACCAUGGGAAAAUUCUCAUAGGCACCGUAUUUCACAAAACUCUGU
Molecule: small RNA, 581 nt
Filed under: Pan troglodytes (chimpanzee)
Lineage: Eukaryota; Metazoa; Chordata; Mammalia; Primates; Hominidae
Description: retained intron
Source: RNAcentral